UACGUAGGGGGCAAGCGUUGUCCGGAAUCAUUGGGCGUAAAGCGCACGUAGGCGGCUUCUCAAGUCAGGGGUGAAAUCCUGGAGCUCAACUCCAGAACUGCCUUUGAUACUGAGGGGCUCGAGUCCGGGAGAGGUGAGUGGAACUGCGAGUGUAGAGGUGAAAUUCGUAGAUAUUCGCAAGAACACCAGUGGCGAAGGCGGCUCACUGGCCCGGUACUGACGCUGAGGUGCGAAAGCGUGGGGAGCAAACAGG
This 253-nucleotide ribosomal RNA is filed under the name uncultured bacterium. RNAcentral's name for it is "partial 16S ribosomal RNA". It matches the Rfam family "Bacterial small subunit ribosomal RNA", at positions 524 to 776 of the family's 1533-position model. The record is from RNAcentral.